Molecule: long non-coding RNA, 632 nt
Organism: Galleria mellonella (greater wax moth)
Lineage: Eukaryota; Metazoa; Arthropoda; Insecta; Lepidoptera; Pyralidae
Exons: 2
Source: RefSeq, a predicted model, not a curated record
UUGGAAUACUGAUGUUUUUAAAGUUAUUUAAUUUAAUUAAUUAAUUAACAUUUCUGAAUAACUCAAGUCGUGAGCUAAUUACGAAUUUAUUUCUUUAUUUUUCUCACGACUAGCAGCGGGAUGUUUUUUUUUUUCUUGGUUUCCCGCGCUGUAAAUAUUUACAACUGCCGUAGGCACAAUAUACAUUGCAUUAAUCUCUGAUAAUUCCUGAGAUAAACUGUUUCGAGAUAAACCAAGUGUAAUAAUAUAUUUUCAUAACGUCAGUGUCGACCGUGGAUAUGACUAAACGGCAUUGUUGUAGAUUAAUUAAUAAUUUUAAAAAUUAAAAUUAGGUAGAGUAAGGUCACUGCGGAAUUGGAGUUUAUACAACACAGAGAUGUCACCUCGACAGGACCACAUACGAGAGACGGAACGAGUGUGUCUGCCCACGCAGCCGCGGCCGCCGCCCCCGCCCGCUCCUGGUCGCCUACAGAGACCUCUGCACGACCACCCCGCCAACUAUAUCCUACGACCCGCCAACACGACACGCAAUACCGUCACAAUCACAACGCGCUAAAUAUAUAAUUUGAAAUUUGAAAAUGGAACUCUUCGUUCUAUAAGUCUGGUUUACAUAAAAAAAAGUUUUUAUCGUG